RNAcentral lists this ribosomal RNA (432 nucleotides) under uncultured bacterium. RNAcentral describes it as "bacterial SSU rRNA". It matches the Rfam family "Bacterial small subunit ribosomal RNA", at positions 354 to 796 of the family's 1533-position model. The record is from RNAcentral.
GUCGAGGAUCUUCGGCAAUGGGCGCAAGCCUGACCGAGCGACGCCGCGUGUGCGAUGAAGGCCUUCGGGUUGUAAAGCACUGUCGGGGGGGAGAAAAGGGCAACCUUGAUCGACCCCCGGAGGAAGCACGGGCUAAGUUCGUGCCAGCAGCCGCGGUAAGACGAACCGUGCGAACGUUGUUCGGAAUCACUGGGCUUAAAGGGCGCGUAGGCGGGCAGGCAAGUCCGGGGUGAAAUCCCACGGCUCAACCGUGGAAGUGCCUUGGAUACUGCAUGUCUGGAGGGAUGUAGGGGCGUGCGGAACUUCCGGUGGAGCGGUGAAAUGCGUAGAUAUCGGAAGGAACACCGGUGGCGAAAGCGGCGCGCUGGACAUCUACUGACGCUGAGGCGCGAAAGCCAGGGGAGCAAACGGGAUUAGAUACCCUGGUAGUCC